GAACGCGAAGAACCUUACCAAGGCUUGACAUGCACGGCGGCACUGCAGAGAUGUGGUGGCAUUUAGUUGGUCGUGUGCAGGUGGUGCAUGGUUGUCGUCAGCUCGUGUCGUGAGAUGUUGGGUUAAGUCCCGCAACGAGCGCAACCCUUGCCCUAUGUUGCCAGCACGUGAUGGUGGGGACUCGUGGGGGACUGCCGGGGUUAACUCGGAGGAAGGUGGGGAUGACGUCAAAUCAUCAUGCCCCUUAUGUCUUGGGCUUCACGCAUGCUACAAUGGCUGGUACAGAGGGUUGCGAUACUGUGAGGUGGAGCGAAUCCCUUAAAGCCAGUCUCAGUUCGGAUUGGGGUCUGCAACUCGACCCCAUGAAGGUGGAGUCGCUAGUAAUCGCAGAUCAGCAACGCUGCGGUGAAUACGUUCUCGGGUCUUGUACACACC
RNAcentral lists this ribosomal RNA (435 nucleotides) under uncultured bacterium. RNAcentral describes it as "bacterial SSU rRNA". It matches the Rfam family "Bacterial small subunit ribosomal RNA", at positions 957 to 1391 of the family's 1533-position model. The record is from RNAcentral.